UUACNAGUUCCGGGUUCGAGUCCCGGGCAACCCA
This 34-nucleotide transfer RNA is filed under the name Eucalyptus kitsoniana. RNAcentral describes it as "partial tRNA-Lys". Lineage: Eukaryota; Viridiplantae; Streptophyta; Magnoliopsida; Myrtales; Myrtaceae. The record is from RNAcentral.